GUUAGAGCGAGAGACACAGAGAAACAAGCAGAUGUAGUUACACACGUGUCUAAGAGUUCGUUAGUUAAGAGAAAUAUGAAUGCCGUUAAAAAGUGAAAAGGACUUAUUUUAAGUGAUAUAAAAGAAGAUCAGAAGACUUUCUUUCAGAGCAUGCAGCCAACGAGGCAGGCCUUCACAAAGCAGCGAACAUCAUCCUUCACGGAGGCCACCAGAAACUGUUGCCAGAUGAAUGCAGCCAUGCAUCAAGCGCAAGGAUGACAGGACAGCUUGGAGGAAUGGCUCCACUGCAGGACCUGUGAAUGCACAGACUGGGGCACAAAAAGGAGAUGUCCAAGAGGUAUGGGGAGCAGCCACAGUACCAUAAUUGUGGACGAAG
Long non-coding RNA from Clupea harengus (Atlantic herring), 376 nucleotides. The record is from Ensembl. NCBI's taxonomy places the organism in Eukaryota, Metazoa, Chordata, Actinopteri, Clupeiformes, Clupeidae.